GUUCCCGUAGCUCAGCCGGAUAGAGCGUUCGCCUCCUAAGCGAAAGGCCUUGGGUUCGAAUCCCGACGGGAACGCCA
Molecule: transfer RNA, 77 nt
Filed under: Clostridiales bacterium
Lineage: Bacteria; Bacillati; Bacillota; Clostridia; Eubacteriales
Description: tRNA-Arg
Rfam family: tRNA
About the family: Transfer RNA (tRNA) molecules are approximately 80 nucleotides in length. Their secondary structure includes four short double-helical elements and three loops (D, anti-codon, and T loops).
Source: RNAcentral